UUGACAUCAUUGAAUGCAGAUUUCAGGAGAGAUGCACAAAAUAGCUGGAAUGAGCCGGCUUCGUCACAGCACGCUCUUAGAAGGGGAAAUGGACAACACAUGGUGAUGAAUUGGGUGUGGGGAAUGAAGGGGAGAAAGAGGUGCCAAGAAUGACUGGUAGCUUCUGAUUUGCUGAAUAGGAUGAAUGAUGGAACUGUCCACAGCUGAAAGUAAAAACUUCACCUGUGAAUGGGGUCUCCAAUCUCUCCUUUUCUCUCCCUCUUUCUUCUAUGAAUGCAGCAUUUACUGUCUGGGUCAAAGAGGAUGUGUCCUAAAAGGAGAAUGAGAAAUAAAACCCAGAAGGAGAAAGAAAACGUGGAGAAUAUUGCUGAUUGCAGCCAAGGGAAGAGAAUGUUUCCAGAAGGAGGUUACCACUGCGAGGUCAAGUAAGGGACUGGAGAAUGCUUCUGUAUCUUGGCAGGUGGGGCCAUUGGAGGGAGUAGUUGUGACCAGGUGAAGGGCUGAGGGGCAGAGCAGAGUAGAGUGAGGAGUAAAUGUGAGAUAAGAAAAUGGAUCAGGGGAAUAGUCUUAUAUUUCACAAGAUUUGAACAGGCACUUCACCGAAGAAGAUAACAGAUGGAAAAGAAGCAAACAAGAAGACGUUCAACAUCAUAUGUCAUUAGGGAAUUAAAAAUGAAAAAAAUGAUGAGUUUCCACCGCACUCCUAUUAGAAUGGUUAAAAUUCAAAACAACACCAACACAAAAUGUUGGUGAGGCUAUGGAGUAACAGGAAUUCUCAUUUAUUUCCUAGGAGUAACGCGAAUAAAAAGCAAUGGGACAGACACUUUGGAAGACAGUUUGGCAGUUUCUUACAAAAGAAGAAAUUGGCCCAAUGUGACAGUCAUGUCCUACUACUUGGCACUUGUAUUCCUUGGUAUUUGCACAAUUGAUUUGAAAGCUUAUAUCCACACAGAAACGUGCACACAAAUGAUUAUAACAACUUUAUUAAUAAUUGCCAAAAACAGAAAGAAAGCAAGUUGUUCUUCAGUAGGUGAAUGAACAAAAAAUUGUACUACAUUCGUACAAUGGAGUCUUAUUCAUCCUUAAGAUGAAAUGAGCUAUCAAGCUAUAAAAAACAUUGGGGGGGGGGAUCAUAGAUGCAUAUUGCUAGGUGAAAUAAGUCAGUCUAAAAAGCCUACAUACUAUAUGAUUCCAACCAUAUGACAUUCUAAAAUAGGAAGAACAAUGGAGAUAGUAAAAAGGAUAGUAGAUGCUGGGGGCCAGGGGGCAGUAUGAAGAGAGAAGAUGAGUAAGUGGAACGUAGGGGAUUUUUAGGGAAGUAAAAUUAUUUUGUAUAAUACUGUGAUGGUGAAUACCUGAUAUUAUGCAUCUGACAUCAUGCAGUGGGCAUAUAGAAGCCCAUCAACAAUACAAUACAAAUGGUAAACCUUAGUGUAAACUAUAGACUUUAGGCAACACUAAUAAUGUAUAAAUAUUGGUUCACCAAUUGUAACAAAACUACCACAGUGAUGCAAUAAGUUUAUAUUUGUGGAAACUAUGUGAGAAGAGGGAGGAGGAGUAUAUGGGAACUCUCUGUACUUUUAUGUUCUAUUUUCAUAUAAACUGAAAACUGCUCUAAAAAAUAAAUCCUACUAAGUAAAAACAUAAAAAGGAAACAUGGAGCAAUGAGAAAUCCAUAGAGGUUUUGAAAAGCUCUGAAAGUAUUCCUGGAAAAAUAGAGGACCAUGCACAUACAUAGAGCAUGAACAUGUUCAGGAAAGACCUAAAAAGACCCUAAGGUCUCACUUCUGGCUGAUCUUGAGAAUAUGUGUGACAGCAAGUGAAGGCUAAGGCAGAGUUGUUAAUUACCUGGCUGAGUGUUGAAGGCAUACCCCUACAAGUAAACAGUGGCUCUCAGCAACACUUAGAGAUAUAUUGACUCCAUCUAUUUAAAUAUGUCUAUGUCCAGUAGUUAGCUAACCACUAAAGACUUCGGUGAUCAAACACAACAAUGAAUACAGACUGUUCAGAAUUAGUUCAGAAAAGUCACUAAACUAAACAAACAAAAAAAACAAACCCAGCAACUACAAUAAGCAGCAAUUGCAGACCCUGGGGACAGAAGAGGGCAAAGAGAGAAUCUGAUAUCUACUAUUGCUACAUUAUAUUAUUUAAACAUCAAGUUUUAAAAAAAUAAGAGAAAAAAGAAUGUAUGACCCAUACACAAGAAGGAAAAAAGCAAUCAAUAGAAACUAUCCCUGAAAGAAUGUAGAUGUUGAAUUUACUAAAGAGAGACUUUAAAUUAGUUAUUUAAAAUAAAUUGAAAAUAAUAUAGAAAAUAGCAAAAUGGAAGAUGCAAAAUGGCAGAGGUAAAUCCAAUAGUAUUAGUAAUUACACUAAUUGGAAAUGGAUUAAAUUCUCUAAUCAAAAGGCAGAGAUUGACUUAAUGGAUAAAAAACAUAAUCCAACUAUAUGCUUUCUACAAGAAACAUAAUUUAGAUUCAAAGACAAAAGUAUGUUUCAAAUCAAAAGAUGAAAAAAGAUCUAUAGUGCAAACAGUAACAAAAGGAGAUCUGGAAAAGCAUAUACUAUGCAAACGUAAGCAAAAGAGAGCUGGAAAAAGAUACUUCAUGCAAACUGUAACCAAAAUAGAAUUGAGGUGGAUAUACUAAUAUUAAAAUAGAUUUUAGGACAAAUAUUUGUAGUAAAUACAGAGAAAAAUACUUGAUAAUGAUAAAAGAAUGGAUUCAAAAAGAAGAUAUAAUAAUUAUAAAUGUAUGAACCAAGUAACAAACUCUUAAAAUACAUGAAGGAGGAAUUGAUUAAAUUGAAGGGAGAAAUAUAAAAUUCAACAAUAGUCAGAAACCUCAAUACCCCACUUUCAAUGAUGGACAUAACAACUAGACAAAAGAUCAUCUAGGAAAUAAAAGAGUUGAACAGUACUAUAAACAAUUAGGCAUAAGACAUAGCUAUAGAAUAGUCCACCCAACAAUAGCAUAAUACACAUUAUUUCCAAGUGUACGUGGAAAAUUCUCAAGGAUAGAUUACAUUUUAGGCCAUAAAACAAGUUUCAAUAUAUUUAAAAGAACUGAAAUCAUAACAAAUCUCCUUCAACAACGAUUGAAAUUAGAAAUGUAAACAACACACUCCUAAAUAGCCAACAGGUUAAAGAAAUAGUCACAGUGAAAUUAGAAAAUACUUUAAAAUUAAAACCCUACAUACCAAAAUUUAUGGAAUGCAGUUGAAGUAGUGCUUAGAGAAAAAUUUACAGAAAUCAAUGCCUACAUUGGAAAAGAAUAAAGGUCUGUCUUAAAUCAAUAACCUAGCUUAAAAAACCUAGGAAAACAAGAGCAAACUAAUCAGAAAGCAAGCAAAAAAGGAAAUAAUAGAAGAGCAAAAUAAAUAAAAUGGGUCAUAGGACAUUAUGUUAAGUGAAAUUCUCAGACACAGAAAGACAAAUAGUACGUGAUCUCACUCAUACUCAUCUAGAAAAGGUCAAUAUUAGUUACUGUUACAGAAGUAGUGUGUGGAAUGGUGGUUAUCAGGGGGUGUGGUGAAGGGUAGUGGUGGGGAGAUGUUUGUCGAAGGAAACAAAAUUUCAAUUUGUUGGGAGGAAUAAGUCCAAGAGAUGUAGUGUACAACAUGAUGACUAUAGUGAACAGUAUACUGUAUUAUCAGAAAAUGUAAGAGUGGAUUUAAAGUGUUCUCACCACAAAAAUGACAGCUAUGUGAGGAAUGUAUGUCAUUCCACAGUGUUUAUUAUAUGCACUUCGAGACAUUGUUAUACAUGAUAAAUAUAUACAAAUUUUAUUUGUUAAUUUAAAAAUAGAGAAUAACAAAACAAAACUUUUUUUAAUAUUAACAAAUGGAUAAGUCUCUAGCUGGACUAGCAAGAAAUAAAGAGAAAAGGCUCAAACUUACAGAUAUAAAAAGGAUUAUAAAGAAGUAUUAUGAACAGUUGUAAGCCAAUAAAGUAGGUAACUCAUAUAAAAUUAACAAUUUCUGGAAAGACACCAACUAUCGAAACUGACUCAAGAAAAAAUAGACACCGAAAUAGACCUAAAACAAGCAAAGAGAUUAAAUUAGUAAUCAAGAAACCACACACAAAGACAGGUCCAGCAGACGGUUUCACCUCUUAAUUCUACUAGACAUUUAAAUAAUAAUUAAUAGUAAUUUUUCACAAACAUUUUCAAAAAAUAGAAGAGAGAACAGUUCCCAUUCAUUCUCUGAGGCUAUUACUAUACCAAUACUACACAGGAAAAGGCAUCAUAAGAAAAGAAAACUAUAAAGCAAUAUAUCUUAUAAAUAAAAAUGUAAAAAUCCUUAAUAAAAUAUUUGUG
This 4316-nucleotide long non-coding RNA is filed under the name Homo sapiens (human). RNAcentral describes it as "non-protein coding MIR646HG:36". The record is from RNAcentral. Lineage: Eukaryota; Metazoa; Chordata; Mammalia; Primates; Hominidae.